AUACUUACCUUCCUUCUGUUAGAUACUGAAAUCACAGAAAAUAGAUGUACUAGAUGAUCAUCUUUGACAUCCACAAAGUUAAUUUGCAUGUAAUAUAAAUUUGUGCAUAUACUGUAAAUAUAUGUAUAAUACAUAUGUGCUUCUUCUCUAAUAGAUUUUAUAUAUUAUAUAUACUUUGCAAUUUUAAUGUUUAUGAUUUCAUUUCACCUAGCUGAUUAAACCUAGAAACAUUGUCAGGGUAUGAAACUGAGCUGACUUUACUUGCUCUGUGUUUUCUCUCUGAAAAGCCUUGAAAAUCUAAGAAUGACCUAGAAGACGCUGUUUGUGUGGAUUUGGGGGAGAGCAUUAAUAUAGCUCUUGAUGAGCUAAAUGAAGAAAGGAAUUGCAUGCUACACAGCCUUCUUUUUAUGGAUCAUAGCAGUGGCUCCUGGACUCCAGGUGUGAUGUUCAUCAUGCUACAGCUCUAUCACAUCCCUAUCUACUCUUAGGUCUGUUGCAGGAAUGGCUAGAAAAUAUUUUGAAAUCUUAUGGUUUCUCUGCUAUCAUCUGUGAAUAUCAAGUACAACUAGAAGUUUGCAGGAGCAGCACAGAAGGUAAUCUAUUUGGACUACUAUCGAGCACUUGACCUCGUUUUACCCUGG
RNAcentral lists this long non-coding RNA (641 nucleotides) under Anser brachyrhynchus (Pink-footed goose). Its description in RNAcentral is "lncRNA (ENSABRG00000021104.1)". Lineage: Eukaryota; Metazoa; Chordata; Aves; Anseriformes; Anatidae. The record is from RNAcentral.